AGAGUUUGAUCCUGGCUCAGAUUGAACGCUGGCGGCAUGCCUUACACAUGCAAGUCGAACGGCAGCAUGAUCUAGCUUGCUAGAUUGAUGGCGAGUGCGAACGGGUGAGUAAUACAUCGGAACGUGCCCUGUAGUGGGGGAUAACUAGUCGAAAGAUUAGCUAAUACCGCAUACGACCUGAGGGUGAAAGUGGGGGACCGCAAGGCCUCAUGCUAUAGGAGCGGCCGAUGUCUGAUUAGCUAGUUGGUGNGGUAAAGGCCCACCAAGGCGACGAUCAGUAGCUGGUCUGAGAGGACGAUCAGCCACACUGGGACUGAGACACGGCCCAGACUCCUACGGGAGGCAGCAGUGGGGAAUUUUGGACAAUGGGCGAAAGCCUGAUCCAGCAAUGCCGCGUGUGUGAAGAAGGCCUUCGGGUUGUAAAGCACUUUUGUCCGGAAAGAAAUGGCUCUGGUUAAUACCUGGGGUCGAUGACGGUACCGGAAGAAUAAGGACCGGCUAACUACGUGCCAGCAGCCGCGGUAAUACGUAGGGUCCAAGCGUUAAUCGGAAUUACUGGGCGUAAAGCGUGCGCAGGCGGUUGUGCAAGACCGAUGUGAAAUCCCCGAGCUUAACUUGNGAAUUGCAUUGGUGACUGCACGGCUNGAGUGUGUCAGAGGGGGGUAGAAUUCCACGUGUAGCAGUNAAAUGCGUAGAGAUGUGGAGGAAUACCNAUGGCUAAGGCNGNCCCCUGGGAUAACACUGACGCUCAUGCACGAAAGCGUNGGGAGCAAACAGGAUUAGAUACCCUGGUNGUCCACGCCCUAAACGAUGUCAACUAGUUGUUGGGGAUCAUUUCCUUAGUAACGUAGCUAACGCGUGAAGUUGACCGCCUNGGGAGUCUGUCGCAAGAUUAAAACUCACAGGAAUUGACGGGGGACCGCGCAACCCUUGUCUCUAGUUGCUACGAAAGGGCACUCUAGAGAGACUGCCGGUGACAAACCGGAGGAAGGUGGGGAUGACGUCAAGUCCUCAUGGCCCUUAUGGGUAGGGCUUCACACGUCAUACAAUGGUGCAUACAGAGGGUUGCCAAGCCGCGAGGUGGAGCUAAUCCCAGAAAAUGCAUCGUAGUCCGGAUCGUAGUCUGCAACUCGACUACGUGAAGCUGGAAUCGCUAGUAAUCGCGGAUCAGCAUGCCGCGGUGAAUACGUUCCCGGGUCUUGUACACACCGCCCGUCACACCAUGGGAGUGGGCUUUACCAGAAGUAGUUAGCCUAACCGCAAGGAGGGCGAUUACCACGGUAGGGUUCAUGACUGGGGUGAAGUCGUAACAAGGUAACC
Molecule: ribosomal RNA, 1320 nt
Filed under: Ralstonia sp. 14H
Lineage: Bacteria; Pseudomonadati; Pseudomonadota; Betaproteobacteria; Burkholderiales; Burkholderiaceae
Description: partial 16S ribosomal RNA
Rfam family: Bacterial small subunit ribosomal RNA
Source: RNAcentral